Molecule: non-coding RNA, 229 nt
Organism: Pelobates cultripes (western spadefoot toad)
Lineage: Eukaryota; Metazoa; Chordata; Amphibia; Anura; Pelobatidae
Source: the annotation of a GenBank genome assembly
GUGAGGGAGGGGGUGACUAGUGACAGAAGGAGGGAGGGAGUAGUGACAGAGGGAGGUGGUGACUAGUGACAGAGUGAGGGAGGGAAGGGUGUGACUAGUGACAGUCACCCCCUCCCUCACUCUGUCACUGUGUCACCCCCUUCCUCACUCUGUCACUAGUCACCCUCUCUCUCACUCUGUCACUAGUCACCCUCUCUCUCACUCUGUCUCUAGUCACCCCGUCCCUCAC